This 921-nucleotide long non-coding RNA is filed under the name Pan troglodytes (chimpanzee). Its description in RNAcentral is "lincRNA". Lineage: Eukaryota; Metazoa; Chordata; Mammalia; Primates; Hominidae. The record is from RNAcentral.
GAAGUUGAGCUUCAGGCGCGGCUCUUCCCCGUCACACUGGGACCGGACGCAUUUCCAUGGCGUGGUCCCAGGAACCUCUCAGAGAUAACUGAAUUGGAUGCAAGAUCAUGGUGCGUCAGAGCUAGCAAGAUCCUUAGGAUCAUUUAGCCUGGUUUACUAAUAUUACACUAUGGAAUUUAAGCCCAAGGAAUGGAGAGUACCUGACGAGGGUUAUGUAAGGAGUCAAGUGAGAAGUAAGCUGGAUGCUCUGCUUGGCUGGCAGGUACAGAAUGUGCCAGACCCAUCUGUACCAGCCUGGAUCUCUUGAGGCAUCAGCACAAUGGACCUGGCCACACCAGUUUAUUCCACACCGCUGAGGCUGGUCUUUGAGGAAUCACCACACUGUCUUCCACAAUGCACCAUGGAAUACUAUGCAGACAUAAAAAGGAAUGAGAUCAUGUCGUUUGCAGGGACAUGGAUGGAGCUAGAAGCCAUUGUCCUCAGAAAACUAACACAGGAACAGAAAACCAAAUACCACAUGUUCUCACUUAUAAGUGGGAGCUGAAUGAUGAGAACACAUGGACACGUGGUGCGGGAACAAUACCCCUGGGGCCUGUUGGAGGGUGGGGGCUGGGAGGAGGGAGAGCAUCAAGAAUAGCUAAUGAGGCCAGGCACAGUGGCUCACGCCUGUAAUCCCAGCAUUUUGGGAGGCUGAGGCGGGCAGAUCAUUUGAGGUCAGGAGUUUGAGACCAGCCUGGCCAAUAUGGUGAAACCCCGUCUCUAUUAAAAAUACAAAAAUAUUAGCCAGGCGUGGUGGCAAUGCCCGUCGUCCCUGCAACUUGGGAGGCUGAGGCAGGAGAAUCGUUUGAACAUGGGAGGCGGAGUUUGCAGUGAGCCAAGAUCGUGCCACUGUACUCCAGCCUGGGCGACAGAGUGAGGCUC